AAUGGGUCAGCGACUUAUAUUCUGUAGCAAGGUUAACCGAAUAGGGGAGCCGAAGGGAAACCGAGUCUUAACUGGGCGUUAAGUUGCAGGGUAUAGACCCGAAACCCGGUGAUCUAGCCAUGGGCAGGUUGAAGGUUGGGUAACACUAACUGGAGGACCGAACCGACUAAUGUUGAAAAAUUAGCGGAUGACUUGUGGCUGGGGGUGAAAGGCCAAUCAAACCGGGAGAUAGCUGGUUCUCCCCGAAAGCUAUUUAGGUAGCGCCUCGUGAAUUCAUCUCCGGGGGUAGAGCACUGUUUCGGCAAGGGGGUCAUCCCGACUUACCAACCCGAUGCAAACUGCGAAUACCGGAGAAUGUUAUCACGGGAGACACACGGCGGGUGCUAACGUCCGUCGUGAAGAGGGAAACAACCCAGACCGCCAGCUAAGGUCCCAAAGUCAUGGUUAAGUGGGAAACGAUGUGGGAAGGCCCAGACAGCCAGGAUGUUGGCUUAGAAGCAGCCAUCAUUUAAAGAAAGCGUAAUAGCUCACUGGUCGAGUCGGCCUGCGCGGAAGAUGUAACGGGGCUAAACCAUGCACCGAAGCUGCGGCAGCGACGCUUAUGCGUUGUUGG
This 613-nucleotide ribosomal RNA is filed under the name Escherichia coli. RNAcentral's name for it is "partial 23S ribosomal RNA". It matches the Rfam family "Bacterial large subunit ribosomal RNA", at positions 614 to 1227 of the family's 2925-position model. The record is from RNAcentral. Lineage: Bacteria; Pseudomonadati; Pseudomonadota; Gammaproteobacteria; Enterobacterales; Enterobacteriaceae.